UAGUGGUAUGUCACUUCCUAGAUUAGGUUAUAAAAAUAAAAGGUGAGGAAUUGAAACCUUCUGCCAACAGCCAUGUGAACACAUCUGAAAGUGGAUUCUCCUCAGAGCUUCAUUCAAGCUUUCAGAAGACAGCUGUCCCUGCUGACAGAUUGACUGCAACCUCAUGAACCAGAACCAUUUGGCUAAGCAGCUCCUGGAAUCCUGAUCCUCGAAAACUAAGUGAGGGGAGCUGGGAAAGGCCGUCUGACAGCCCAGGAGGAGAGGGUACUAACGUGACUCACUCUAUCCAAACUCUUCCACCAACAGAGGGAGUAGACACCUGCAGGUUGUACAGGUACUGAUUGAAUCUAUAAUCAAGUUCAAUGUCUGGCAGAGCUGGGGAAUUCAGUUGCUGUCCUGCUAAAUAAAGGAAAAAAAGCAAAAAUGAAAGAGAUGCCGGAAAUACGUUGCUGUAAAUGAACCACUGCUAUUGGCAAAAUACUAAUCAUUUCCUCAGCAAGUGUUUAUUAAGCUCUGGUCCUCGGUCCUGGAGAGAGGGUGAUGAAGGAAAGUCUCUCCCCUCGAGCAGCACAGAGCAGAGGAAAAUAACUGCAAAGCCACGUGUCAAGGGCUGUACUGGAGGCAUGUAUAAGGCGCGGGGCGGGGGGUGCACAGAGAGGGAAGCACGUUCUGAGAGGGUGGUCAGGGAAAGAUUUACUGGAAAGACACAGGAUGCAUCUCAAAGGAGGAACAAGAAUUUGCGGUGCAAGCAGCACUUUUCUGAGAGAGGAAAGGGACACCAGAUCUUGGCAGGGCAUAAAGGUUCACACCAACUUUCACACUGAUUUAGUUAAUAAGCUGUUUUCGUAGCAGAACUUUUUUUAUUUCAGUUUUUUUAUUUCAAUUUUUUUUGAUUUUCAAACUUUUUUAUUGCUUUUCUUUAUACUUUAGAGAAAGUGUGUCUGCGGGAAUAUCUAAUAGGAGAGCCAAAGCAAUCUCCCCCCUGUGGAGUCUAAAGCACCCAAGAGGACAUCUUCUGACUCUCCUGCUGACCUAGUUUCCCUAAAAGAUUUCCUAGCAGAACCAUGUGAAUGAGAGCAUGACCAUUAGAAAAAGGGCAUUUUAAACCUCUGGACUCUUUUCAAAUUAAAACCAUACAAAACACUUUUCUGUAGUCAUAGAGCUUAACUUUCGAUUAUUCAGGGACAUGGGGAUAAACAUUAGGAUGAGCGAACCAGGAACGGCAGGGAAGAGAAAAAAGGAAGCACCUGUAGAGUUUUAAAAAUCAGAACAAAAUGAAAGAAUUAAAAUUAAGUAUAUUCGUUUUUACACUAAUUACAAAUGGACUGAAUUUGCCUAUUAAGGUCAGAAACUG
Long non-coding RNA from Canis lupus familiaris (dog), 1354 nucleotides. RefSeq lists it as uncharacterized. NCBI's taxonomy places the organism in Eukaryota, Metazoa, Chordata, Mammalia, Carnivora, Canidae. The transcript has 4 exons. The record is from RefSeq and is a predicted model, not a curated record.